UGGGGUAUAUUGGACAAUGGGGGAAACCCUGAUCCAGCAAUGCCGCGUGAAUGAAGAAGGCCUUAGGGUUGUAAAGUUCUUUCACCUGUGAAGAUAAUGACGGUAGCAGGAGAAGAAGCUCCGGCUAACUCCGUGCCAGCAGCCGCGGUAAUACGGAGGGGGCUAGCGUUGUUCGGAAUUACUGGGCGUAAAGGGCGCGUAGGCGGCCACCGCAAGUCGACUGUGAAAUCUCCGGGCUUAACCCGGAAAGGUCAGCCGAUACUGCGGGGCUAGAGUGCAGAAGGGGCAACUGGAAUUCUCGGUGUAGCGGUGAAAUGCGUAGAUAUCGAGAGGAACACCUGCGGCGAAGGCGGGUUGCUGGGCUGACACUGACGCUGAUGCGCGAAAGCUAGGGGAGCGAAC
RNAcentral lists this ribosomal RNA (402 nucleotides) under uncultured bacterium. Its description in RNAcentral is "bacterial SSU rRNA". It matches the Rfam family "Bacterial small subunit ribosomal RNA", at positions 355 to 773 of the family's 1533-position model. The record is from RNAcentral.